CGGCGGACGGGUGAGUAACGCGUGGAUAACCUGCCUUACACAGGGGGAUAACAGUUAGAAAUGACUGCUAAUACCGCACAACCCGCUAGGGCCGCAUGGCCCGGACGGAAAAGAUUUAUCGGUGUAAGAUGGAUCCGCGUCUGAUUAGCUAGUUGGCGGGGUAAAGGCCCACCAAGGCGACGAUCAGUAGCCGACCUGAGAGGGUGAUCGGCCACAUUGGGACUGAGACACGGCCCAAACUCCUACGGGAGGCAGCAG
RNAcentral lists this ribosomal RNA (258 nucleotides) under uncultured bacterium. Its description in RNAcentral is "partial 16S ribosomal RNA". It matches the Rfam family "Bacterial small subunit ribosomal RNA", at positions 96 to 354 of the family's 1533-position model. The record is from RNAcentral.